UAACAACUUUCUGCUGUGAUGCAAAAAUCUCAAUGAUAUAAUUACUAAAACCAUUUAUACUGAUUACAUUGACAGAAUUUACUAUUUCAACACAAACAAAUACACAUUACCCAUUACACCGUAAGAACAGUCUGAAGCAGAAGCCGAAUAGAAUGUAGCACUAGCACAAAAUACAUUCACAAAAGGCUCAAAUACAGAAAUAUCUAUCCAAUUAGAUGAAAUAUGGUCCUCAACAAUGUAUAGCUAGGUUUGUGUAGAAUUAAAGUAGCAUCAAUCUAUGCGACCAGUGGCCACGACAGCUUGGCCAGGAAGAUCUUACAACUGACACAAUUCACUCAUCUAUGAUCACCUCAAGAAACCUGGACAGUGCUCAUGUUGGAAAGAAUGUCCAAAACCAAUUUUUUAUAAACACAUAACUGUAUCACACGCACGAUUUCAAUAACACAAUAAAAAGAACAAUACAUAAGGGUUAUGCACAAGAAAAAAGGGUAAAAACAGAGCGCUAAAAGAGAACAAAGUUAGAAUGGAUCAGAUUUCUGGCUUGGAACCCUCUGAUAAGGAUUUGAUGUGCGCACAUUAUAAUCAUAGUCGAUCAUUUGGGGAAAGGAUCUUCACUUCCAUUGAAUUUACAAAUCAGAGCAGAAAAACAUAAGUAAAAUACCAACGGUACAAACAUAGAGAGAAGAGAGGGAUAGAGAUUGUUGGACAAUGGAUCAGAUUUCUGGCUUGGAAUCCUCUGAUAAAGGAUUUCAUUUGCGCACAGUAUAAUCAUAGUCGAUCAGCUGGGGAAAGAAUCCUCACUUCCAUCUUAACCAAAAAAGCAAUCUCCGACAAGAAACUCGGCAAACCACUCCAAAUAGUUUAGGACAGCCAUCACAGGACAUCAACCCAUUGAAAGAUUCAAUCUGGAGAAAUAUGCACAAUAUCUAAUGUUACAAAAUGUAACAGAAGACAGAUAACACGGGGCGGUUCCAUAAAGCCCCGUGCUGUUAAAUGCUGGCCGGUGUUUCCGCUCAUCUAUGCUCCCCUCUACAGGAUGACCAAACCAUAAACAACAGGCCAUCCUUCCAGUUGUGAAGCAACACAACAUUUGUUCAGCAAUCAAGCAGAAAAAACAAAAAAUCCAGUUCUAGCGGAUGAACAAUAUGAUCAACAAUAAUCCUCAGUUCAGGUCUCCAAAUUGCUUCCGCAUCGCACCAUAGUGCAUCAGAAGAACGAAAGUAUUUAGUUUGAUCAUCAUCGGACAGCUUCCAACAUCAGAUAAAAAAGCACAAAAACAAAAGAAAAAGAACUAGCAUGUUUGAUGACAGUAUUUAUCAACACAUAAAGAUGCAAAGGCUCAGAUUUGUUUAACAGGUUUUUCAGUCAUGAAUUUUCAGAAGCAGAACUGGCAUGUAUGCUGGCGGGUGUUUCCGCUCAUCCAUGCUUCCGUCUACAGGAUGACCAACUGUAAACAACAUGCCAUCCUUCCAGUUGUGAAGCACCAAACACAAAAUUUGUUCAGCACUCAAGCAGAAAAAACUAAAAAUCGAGUUCGGGCGGAUGAACAAUAAUCCUCAGUUCAGGUCUCCAAAUUGCUUCCACAUCGCACCUUAGUGCAUCAGAAGAACGAAAGUAUUUAGUUUGAUCAUCGUCAGACAGCUUCCACCAUCAUAAAAAAAGCACAAAAACAAAAGAAGCAGAACAAUGUUUGAUGAAAGUGUUUAUCAACACAUAAAUCUAAAAGAAGAUGCAAAGGCUCAGAUUAGUUUUACAGGUUUUGCAGUCAUGAAUUUUCAGAAGCAGAACUGGCAUGUUUGCUGAAAGUGUUUAUCAUCACAGCCAUGGUCAACCAGAACACAUAAAUCUAAAAGAAUGACAAUAGUGAGAGUUGGUCUUUUUGGCUCAUAUUAAGAAAUUCAACCAUGUUUCCCCUUGUCCUUCAAGAACUAAUCAGAAGCGCGGGUAAGAUUCAAAUCACUGCCACUAAUCAAAAGAAGUCCACAUAUGAGAUGGGCAUAUGUGCAGACAAGAUAACAUGAUAAAAGUCAUUUGACGUUGAUGGGUGACAUCAGAUAAUAAGCGGAGUUUUGUAAACAUAUGAAUGAUUCAGUGCUUAGCAUAUAAUAUUUAACAUCAUUUGCCACCCUGGGUUUGAUAGUCUUUCUUGGAAAAAACAAGGAAGACAAAUAGAGCGCUUUGUGCAAGGCAUCAGAUAAUAAGAUGAGAUUAAUAAUCCACACAUGGAAUUUUCCAUUGAGAGUGUAGGAUAUCAGAUCAUCACUUGCCAGCUCGAAAAUCCAAGAACAAUAUCUGAGUAGAAAAUCUUGGUUAGACCAUUUGACCCAAGAGCAAGGGCAAACGCUGCAAAGGGUUGGUAAGUAAACCAUUUCUCUAUCCGGGCCUGCUACAGCCCCCUCAGAUCCGAGUGCAACUAAGAGGGACACUAGAAGCUAAGCGCAAACAUGACAAAAAGCAGAAGAAUAAAGACGGACAUUUUUUCUCUCAGAUGCCAACCACAAGGGUAGCACAGAUGAUGCAGACAUAUCAACAUGGCAUCAGUUCAGACCGCCCGUCUGCUUGAAACUCUUCAUAGAGAAAGAUUUUAAACCAAAAAUUAACAACAACGAUCAAAGCAAAUAAAAAAUCUAUGCACAUUUGUGUCCAGAUAACAGAAAAAUAUCACAAAAAACCACAAAUAUAAAAAAAGUAUAAUAUGUUGUUUGGUCAGAUCCCUCAGAGUGAUAAUAUAGAUCUCAUCAAUGUAUGAUUCAGGCCACUACUUUUUAACAUCACAAGUCAUCACCGGGAUCCACAGACAACAAUCUCCAAUUAGGAAAGAAAAAUCAACCAGAAACGCUACACAGAUUCCUCAGUUCAAACAAGAAUAUUUAAAGAGUUUCAUAACGAACGGUUGAGCCGUCAGACAAUGCUUUCUAGGCAAAUGCAUCUCCAUCAGACUGCAGCAAUGUUCGCUGCUCGGAGCCCAGUGCAUAUCAUCAUCCAUGACAUCAAGACAUAUACAACCAAACAAUAGCAGAGCAAAAGUGAAGGAAGAGAAUCAACGAACAAUG
Molecule: long non-coding RNA, 3053 nt
Filed under: Triticum aestivum (bread wheat)
Lineage: Eukaryota; Viridiplantae; Streptophyta; Magnoliopsida; Poales; Poaceae
Description: long non-coding RNA (TAES_LNC010880)
Source: RNAcentral